This is a long non-coding RNA of Manacus vitellinus (golden-collared manakin), 424 nucleotides long. RefSeq lists it as uncharacterized. The transcript is spliced from 3 exons. The record is from RefSeq and is a predicted model, not a curated record. Lineage: Eukaryota; Metazoa; Chordata; Aves; Passeriformes; Pipridae.
AGUGGCUCUGCACCCCUGGCUGGGAGGCUGCCGGGGACUGCGCGCCUGGAGGAGUGGAUGUUGCCUUUGCAUCAAAUGCCCUUCUGUGACAACGAAACAUUUCUACUGAUAUAAAUGGGCUGCUUUAAAUGCGUUUAAAAGUUGAUGUGGCCACAACGUAGUCAGUGGAGGAAAGGGUUUUUUGCAGUUGUGUUGUCACAGCGAGCUGGAACAUGCACAGGGCAAUGAGGGCUGUGCAGGUGCCCUUGAGUGAACAGAAGUGUGACAAGGACGUACCUUGAGUGACAAACAUUGAGCUCUGACGUCAGGAUGGACUGUCCUAUGUUUCUAAUUAAUGACUUUCCUCUGCUUACAAGUUCUGAAAAGUAGGUGCGUGGUGGUGGAUGGGCUGCUUCUUCGGGGGAGAAGAGUGUUCGUUGUGAGG